Peromyscus maniculatus bairdii (prairie deer mouse) is the source of this 1004-nucleotide non-coding RNA. The record is from RefSeq and is a predicted model, not a curated record. Lineage: Eukaryota; Metazoa; Chordata; Mammalia; Rodentia; Cricetidae.
GAACUUGGUCCCCAAGCCUGUGUCCCCCAGGGACCUUCACUCCUCAGGAUGUGUCAGGUCUCCAGGAAGACAACGACUGCUCCAUCUGUCCCCCUGGCCACUACUGCAGACGUGGACAGGUGUGGGGAAGAUGUCCUGCUGGUUACUUCUGUUCAGCUGGAACCUCUGAAAUAACGUUAGACCCCAGCAAACCUCAGGCCUCGUGUACCCAGAAACAGCUAUGUGCACAGCAGUGUCCACCAGGUAACAGACCCUGCCUCUGGCCUGCAGGUAUGAGAUGUUCAGGACCCACCGAGUUGUCUAUAUAACAUGCACGUGCAUAGAAUAUGAAAAUGUGUCCCGGGCAGUGCACAUGGCACCUGGUAUGACUACCACACUGGUGGAGGUAACAGGAUGUAUUUCCAUACCUUCCAUAUUGACCAGCAUGACCACUCGGGCCCUCUGGACUCAUUCUAUCUUGGCUCCCACUGUCUAUCAGACACAGUGAAAACUCUGUACUUUAGGAUUUUACUGCCCUGAGGGCAGUGGAGAACCCAUCCCAUGUCCCCCUCACACCCUGGCGGCUACCGCUGGAGCCCAGAAAAAAGAAGACUGUGGGCCCUGCCCCCCAGGACAGUGGUGCAAAGCAGAAACCCAAGCCAGGAAACCCUGCCCUGCUGGUCACUACUGCCCGGGAAUGAGUGAAUCCCACCCAGGAGCCCCUCAGGCAUGCCCUGAACAUACCUAUCUGGCCACAGAAGGAGGCCAGAGCCCAGCUGAGUGCCUCCCCUGCCCCACUGGGUACCACUGCCCAUGGCCAGGCCUCUCUUCUUUUGAAGACCACCCAUGCCCCCCUGGCCACUGGUGUCCAGGUGCACAGGGUGCUUUUCUCUGCCCACCUGGUACCUUCCGUUCAGAGCCAGGGGCGUCAUCACCACAAGACUGUGAGCUCUGUCCCUCUGGCUACUACUGCCCUGACACACAGGUGACCGGUCGAGCCAAUGUGUUUGCCAUCCCCUGCCAGC